AUUGAACGCUGGCGGCAGGCCUAACACAUGCAAGUCGAGCGGAUGAAGGGAGCUUGCUCCUGGAUUCAGCGGCGGACGGGUGAGUAAUGCCUAGGAAUCUGCCUGGUAGUGGGGGGUAACGUCCGGAAACGGGCGCUAAUACCGCAUACGUCCUGAGGGAGAAAGUGGGGGAUCUUCGGACCUCACGCUAUCAGAUGAGCCUAGGUCGGAUUAGCUAGUUGGUGGGGUAAAGGCCUACCAAGGCGACGAUCCGUAACUGGUCUGAGAGGAUGAUCAGUCACACUGGAACUGAGACACGGUCCAGACUCCUACGGGAGGCAGCAGUGGGGAUUAUUGGACAAUGGGCGAAAGCCUGAUCCAGCCAUGCCGCGUGUGUGAAGAAGGUCUUCGGAUUGUAAAGCACUUUAAGUUGGGAGGAAGGGCAGUAAGUUAAUACCUUGCUGUUUUGACGUUACCAACAGAAUAAGCACCGGCUAACUUCGU
Molecule: ribosomal RNA, 483 nt
Filed under: uncultured bacterium
Lineage: Bacteria
Description: partial 16S ribosomal RNA
Rfam family: Bacterial small subunit ribosomal RNA
Source: RNAcentral